This is a long non-coding RNA of Girardinichthys multiradiatus, 187 nucleotides long. RefSeq lists it as uncharacterized. The transcript has 3 exons. The record is from RefSeq and is a predicted model, not a curated record. NCBI's taxonomy places the organism in Eukaryota, Metazoa, Chordata, Actinopteri, Cyprinodontiformes, Goodeidae.
AGUCCAUCAGCACAGAAAUGUCAGGAGAAACAAAUGUGGCUGAGCUUGCUGUGAGGUUGGUGCUUUUGAAGAGGGGGACCAUUACUCCUGUCCAAAGUGCCGCGUAGGUCAGUCUGGAUCUCGUCAAAAGAAUCCACUUGAUGCAUUUCAUUUGGAUCUUCAGCUGGAAUGAUGAUGGAGUCUUCUG